AGCACCAAGUUGACCCUCUUCAGGAAGAAAUGUCCCUGCAUCAGCAGAAAAGCAGUUCCAGAAUGCGGGGAGGAGUCUCCAAUCUUAGCACUGCUGGCGGAUCCCCUUACCUUCCACCUACCGCCUGUGAGCAUCCGAUGACGUCGUGCGCGCACUUGCACCAUGACCUCGGAGAAUCAAAGAGCUCCCGCGCUGAGGCCUGGAACUCUUUAACCUGAAUUCAUCUGAAUGGCCCUUGCCACGGAGGUGCCCCACCUGUAAGUAUUUGUUGGUACUCCCGGUGCUCCGAGGGACUUGAUCUGUGACGGCUCCAGGGGAUCCUUCUCUCCAUCACUCCUGCUGCCCCCUC
RNAcentral lists this long non-coding RNA (349 nucleotides) under Ursus maritimus (polar bear). RNAcentral's name for it is "lncRNA (ENSUMAG00000009152.1)". The record is from RNAcentral. Lineage: Eukaryota; Metazoa; Chordata; Mammalia; Carnivora; Ursidae.